AUGGCGAACGUCGCCGAGCACCGCGUAAACAUGCCGGCGUAUCCUGCCGCUGGCAAAGCCGUCUCGCCGCCUGAGAUGGGCCUGAAUCGCUUCGUUCGCUUCGUCACGCUGAUGGAGAGGCUCGGCAACGCGCUGGGCACGCUGGCCUUCACGUGGGCCACCGUCGUCCUGCUCGGCGGCUACCCCACGGUGCUCCGUCCCGGGGACGAUUUUUGGUGUGCGGCAACUAUAGUUUUCCUAGAAGCCUUGAGAAUGUUAAGCCGCAGCAACAGGAUGGAUUACCAAUUGUUCUUCCGCACGAGAGGUGCUUUCAGGUCUCUUGGCUGGAAUGGGCAUAUCUCGCUCAUAUGCUUCGUCAAUGUUUUGUUGGGCAUUCUUGCUAUAUGGAACACUCAUACAGUAAUACUGAUAGUGAUUUUGUCAGUAGUGGGACUACUUGUGAUUGGUUCAAUUCUAUGCCCAGAAGCUGCAAUUCCACCCAUGUUACGCCGCAUGAUCUCAUUAUGGAGCCCAAUGGUUGCAAUCCUACUGCUUUGUCCCUCUGUAUGGCCCUUCUAUAAGUAUUCAAUCUUUCAAAGACAUAGCUCGGUUGCCAACUGCACAGUGUACUUGGUACUAUUUGUGGUAGUGCUCCUACUCACAAUCAGCAGGCUGAGGUUCCCAAGCAUCAACAAACUAGCAGACUGGAUUCUUGGCAGCAACAUAACAUUUUGGCAACGAGUUAUUCUGAACUUGUGCAUGUUUGUUGCGAUAGUGAUGUCUGUGUUCAGUUUUAAUAGAAGACGUAUAUAUUCACUGAUCACAUUGGACAUACUUGUUCUAGCGAUAACUUCAUUUGGCAAUCUCCAAAUUCCGGCAGCAGUAUUCCGAAUUGGUCUGGCACUGGGGCGCCUUAUAGUUAUCCAGAAAGAUUAUAAUGACCAGAAGAACCAUGAGAACACGAUAAACCUUCUGUCAUCUCUCUACAUCUUUUAUGCGAUGGUGCUUGGCCAAGGGAUACUCUAUAUUGUUGCCGGCAUCUUUGAGGUCUUUUCAUUCAUCCUACGAAGAUCACUCAUCCGUCGUGUUGGAUUUAGAGGACCCUCGGGAGUGAAAUAUGUCAAUUUGUACUACGCAUAUGUCUUCGACAGAUGCAUGGAAGGUGCUAUGCUUGGCCCAAAGAAGAUCAACGUCAUCAUAUUUGCAAUGGAUUCUAUAAAGUCAAACUCUCCCAAGAUGCAACUCUAUGGUCUUAAGAUGCUUCACAUCUUUCUAAAAAAGGAGCCCCUAAGGACUAUGGCCAUAUUAGAACUCACCACUUAUACACAGACAGUGACCUGCUUGAUCAACAUGUUGGGCAGGACAAGUGAGGGGGCUACAGAUAUUCGAUCAUUUGCUGCGAAGAUCAUGGCCGAGCUCGCUGAAAACCUCCGAGUUGUCCCUAUUCCUGGGGCGAUGUAG
This 1440-nucleotide ribosomal RNA is filed under the name Triticum aestivum (bread wheat). RNAcentral describes it as "partial small subunit ribosomal RNA". The record is from RNAcentral. Lineage: Eukaryota; Viridiplantae; Streptophyta; Magnoliopsida; Poales; Poaceae.